ACUUUUAUCGCAUGGUAGAAGUAUCAAAGCUCCGGCGGUACAGGAUGGACCCGCGUCUGAUUAGCUAGUUGGUAAGGUAACGGCUUACCAAGGCGACGAUCAGUAGCCGACCUGAGAGGGUGAUCGGCCACAUUGGAACUGAGACACGGUCCAAACUCCUACGGGAGGCAGCAGUGGGGAAUAUUGCACAAUGGGCGAAAGCCUGAUGCAGCAACGCCGCGUGAGCGAUGAAGGCCUUCGGGUCGUAAAGCUCUGUCCUCAAGGAAGAUAAUGACGGUACUUGAGGAGGGAGCCCCGGCUAACUACGUG
Molecule: ribosomal RNA, 309 nt
Filed under: uncultured bacterium
Lineage: Bacteria
Description: bacterial SSU rRNA
Rfam family: Bacterial small subunit ribosomal RNA
Source: RNAcentral